UAUGAAAUUGUCAGGACCAACAAGGUUUUCAAAUUUGUCAUGUUUCUACGUCCUUGGAAGGACCUCUGAGCUUCGGAAGAGUCCGCGUGUCAUAUUUAAGCGUCCAUCUAUCAACCAGCUGGCACGUGUCUGACACAUGUCCGACAUGUUGAAGCGUCGACGACCGACGCAUCAUAACCAAAAAGUUGGUUUAUGCAUCCGACUUUGAGUUUGGCUGAUGCGUAUGUACGUGGCUCCGCCGACUCUUCCGAACGGCUUGGCCGACUCUUCCGAACGGCUUGGCUGACUCUUCCCAUUUGCUAGGCUGACACUUAUCAACGGCUUAGCUGAAUUAGUUCUUUGGCUCGGCUGAGUUCUCCAAUAUAUAUAUUUUUUUGGUUUUUUUUUAUUCUAUUAAUUAUAUCAUAAAAUGUUCCCACAUAACUUAUCUCGAAAUAUAACAUUAAACAUAAAUUUUCAAAGUUAAAUGUUACAACAUAACUUAAAUAUUACAACCUAAACUAAAGAUAUGAUUUAAAUAUAAAUUUCUAAUUUUUCAGCCUAUAUAUACAGGCCCACGGUGCUCAUUAGUGUGCAUGAGUAUAAUGGCAACCGGGAGGCGUUUCAGUAACAUACCGGAAUCAGUAGAAAACACUAUCUGGGCCAAUGAUAACCAACAACAUGAAAAUUGGUCUCCAAAUGUUCUUGAGUUUUAUUAUGCGGGUGACUGUCCUUCUUGUUAUUCCAGCUAUAGCUAUAUGGGAGUACACCUCUAGAUAAGCACUGGUGGGGUGGCCUAUUAGGUUUCUGUGGAAACGGUUUUAUUCAACAAAUGCAUGUCGGAGCAUGGUGUAACUGGCUCGUGCAGACGAAGAAAAAUGAAAAUCCCGGAAUUGCCACUUCAUCGGUCAGUAAUCGCUGGACGUUGCUCCCGCCUCAAUUUCUCAAUCUCCUUGUAGAACAACAUCAUGAUGCUUGUGGAUAUGUAAAUGGCUCUAGCGGAAUAUAUCCUGCGUUGUGGGAUGUCGAUACGUUGCGAUGCAAUUAAUUGUGGUGAUUCGUUUUGCGUCCACCGGAGAAUAUACCAAACUCUUAUUGAAUUCGAGUCGGCAUUCCUAUGGUUUCUAGAACGUAUAGGUUACUGGGAAAAUACUGGACUCAGCGAGUCUGACGCAUUAGAAUAUGAUGGGGAUGUUGUAUGGCCUACCAGUGUUCGUCACGUACGACGAAAUUCAGGGGUGAUCGUAUGUAUAUUACUACAAAAUCUAGUUCAAAACUGUUCACUCAAAUGGGAAGAAGGAAACAUUCAAGAUGCUUGUAUGAGAUAUAGAACAUUUAUGGUUGAUCAACUGUAUGUUGGCCGCUAUGUUUAUUAAAAUUUAAUAAAAGUUUAAAAAUUA
Molecule: long non-coding RNA, 1379 nt
Organism: Helianthus annuus (common sunflower)
Lineage: Eukaryota; Viridiplantae; Streptophyta; Magnoliopsida; Asterales; Asteraceae
Exons: 3
Source: RefSeq, a predicted model, not a curated record